AUGUUUUUAAACCCCCGAAAUUUAACGCGGAGAGGGGGUCGGGCACCGGAGUUUGUUUAUUCCUACACACAACAGCCCUCCCCCGUCCGCUCCCAGCGCCGCUCCCGCUCCUCUGCGGUGGCGGCCGCCGCCGGGACAGCCCUUAUCAACGUGCCGCCGCUCGCGAGCCCCCGCCGGCCGCACGCGCCGCGCACGCCGCGCCACGCGCGCCCGCCGCCGCCGCGCCACCCCCUCCCGCCCUCCCCCGAGCGCGCCCCCGCCCCCCGCGCGCGCCCGGCGCGUGGCGCCGCCAGCCCCGGCAGCACUGCCCUCCCUCCCUCCGCCGGUUCUCUUCCCCCGUUCCGGUGCCCUGGGGUGCGCUCACACACACGGACACACACACGGACACGGACACGCUCACACACACAUGCACACGCACACGCUCACACGCACAUGCUCACACACACGGACACGCUCACACACACGGACACGCUCACACACACACACGCUCACACGCACACGCUCACACGCACACGCUCACACGCACACGCUCACACACACACACACGCUCACACACACACACAUGCACACACACACACGCUCACACGCACACGCUCACACACACACACGCUCACACACACAUGCACACACACACACGCUCACACACACACGCUCACACACACACACACGCUCACACACACACACACACGCUCACACACACAUGCACAAACACGCACACGCUCACGCUCACACACACGCUCAUACACACACACACACUUUGGAACGUUCUCCUUUUCUCGCCCCGUCUGUUUUUUUGCGUUUUCAGUAUUUUGUUGUAAUUUUCAUUAUUUACGGAGGGAGGGGCUCCCCUGUGGCCCCUCCUCCCCCCGCACACAGGUGCUCCCCGUGCCCCGGUGCGGUGCCAGCUCCGGGUCCCGACCCGUCCAAUGCGCCGUUUCCUCCCCAAACCAAACCGUGCACCCAGAGGGGCGGCAGCGCCGGGACAGGCGGGGAGCGGCCGCUGGAGCGGCGGAGCGGUGGAGUGAGCAGCCCUGCCGUCGGACACCGGUUGGUUUGCUUCGCAAAGCGAGGGGAUACACCGGGGCUCGGCUUUCAGAAACUGAAUACAAACGUACAGCAGUUGCAGGAGUCACCUCGCCAAGGCCGUUCUCUGCAAGACGACUUUUAAGGCUUAAACAAGAGUUUCAAGGAUAA
Molecule: long non-coding RNA, 1194 nt
Filed under: Melopsittacus undulatus (budgerigar)
Lineage: Eukaryota; Metazoa; Chordata; Aves; Psittaciformes; Psittaculidae
Description: lncRNA (ENSMUNG00000017910.1)
Source: RNAcentral